GACGAACGCUGGCGGCGUGCUUGAUACAUGCAAGUCAAGGAGAAAAUUUCCUUCGGGAAAUAAGUAAACUGGCGAACGGGUGAGUAACACGUAGGUAACCUGCCUUAGAGAUUGGGAUAACCCCGGGAAACCGGAGCUAAUACCGAAUAAUGCAACGAAUCCUUCGGGGUAUGUUGUUAAAGCGGGCUUCGGCUCGCACUUUAAGAUGGGCCUGCGUCCGAUUAGCUUGUUGGUGGGGUAAUGGCCUACCAAGGCGACGAUCGGUAGCUGGUCUGAGAGGAUGAUCAGCCACACUGGGAUUGAGAUACGGCCCAGACUCCUACGGGAGGCAGCAGUAAGGAAUUUUGCGCAAUGGACGAAAGUCUGACGCAGCAACGCCGCGUGAUCGAUGACGCUUCUAGGAGUGUAAAGAUCUGUCGUGAGGGAAGAAAAACUUGGAUGUAAAUAAUGUUCGAAUUUGACGGUACCUCACAAGAAAGCACCGGCUAACUUCGUGCCAGCAGCCGCGGUAAUACGAGGGGUGCUAGCGUUGUCCGGAAUUACUGGGCGUAAAGGGUCCGUAGGCGUUUUGCCAAGUUGAUCGUUAAAGCCACCGGCUCAACCGGUGAUCUGCGAUCAAAACUGGCAGAAUAGAAUAUGUGAGAGGAAUGUGGAAUUCCUGGUGUAGCGGUGACAUGCGUAGAUAUCAGGAGGAACACCAAUGGCGAAGGCAGCAUUCUGGCACAAUAUUGACGCUGAGGGACGAAAGCGUGGGUAGCGAACAGGAUUAGAUACCCUGGUAGUCCACGCCGUAAACGAUGAGUACUUGAUGGUGGAGGAUUCGAUCCCUUCACUAUCGGAGCUAACGCGUUAAGUACUCCGCCUGGGGAAUACGGCCGCAAGGCUGAAACUCAAAGGAAUUGACGGGGACCCGCACAAGAGGUGGAACAUGUGGUUUAAUUCGAUGCAACGCGAAGAACCUUACCUGGACUUGACAUGUUAGUGAAAUCUCUGUGAAAGCAGAGCCUUCUGCGAGCUUGCUCAAAGACACUAUCACAGGUGAUGCAUGGCUGUCGUCAGCUCGUGUCGUGAGAUGUUGGGUUAAGUCCCGCAACGAGCGCAACCCCUAUCCUUAGUUGCCAGCACGUAAUGGUGGGGACUCUAAGGAGACUGCCUGGGAUAACCAGGAGGAAGGUGGGGAUGAUGUCAAGUCAGUAUGUCCCUUAUGUCCAGGGCUACACACGUGUUACAAUGGCCGGUACAAUGGGCCGCGAUCCCGCAAGGGCAAGCCAAUCCCAAAAAACCGGCCCCAGUUCAGAUUGGAGUCUGCAACUCGACUCCAUGAAGCAGGAAUCUCUAGUAAUCGCGGAUCAGAACGCCGCGGUGAAUACGUUCCCGGGUCUUGUACACACCGCCCGUCAAGCCAUGGAAGUCGGCAGUACCCGAAGCCGGUGGCCCAACUCUUCGGAGAGGGAGCCGUCGAAGGUAAGGCCGGUAACUAGGGCUAAGUCGUAACAGGGUAGCCGUACCGGAAGGUGCGGCUGGAUCACCUCCUUUCUAGGGAGUAAUUCCGUAUCUAUUACGGAAUAUGGUCGAACUCAGAUCCUUGUGAUCACGCAUACUUAUAAUUUGGGCUUGUAGCUCAGGUGGUUAGAGCGCAUCCCUGAUAAGGAUGAGGUCCGUGGUUCGAGUCCACGCAGGCCCACUUGAUCUACUGUCAACUGUUUUUAAUGGGGCUGUAGCUCAGUUGGGAGAGCGCCUGAUUUGCAUUCAGGAGGUCGCAGGUUCGAUCCCUGUCAGCUCCACAACAAAAAAUUUGUUUUUUGAAAAUUGGGAAUUGAUGUCGAUUCACAAAUGUGAAUCGUCUUCUGCAAUCUGCGGAAGGCGGUAACUUCAUUUUGUGACACUAAAUAAAAGUGAAUUCGUCUCUUAAUUUAUAAUUAAGAGACAGAUCAUUCACGCGAUCAAGAGCCUUUGGCAAAGCUACUAAGAGCGUAUAGAGGAUGCCUAGGCACAUAGAGGCGAUGAAGGACGUGGUAAGCUGCGAUAAGCUUCGGGUAGGUGCAAACAACCUUAAAUCCGGAGAUUU
Molecule: ribosomal RNA, 2068 nt
Filed under: uncultured marine bacterium
Lineage: Bacteria
Description: bacterial SSU rRNA
Rfam family: Bacterial small subunit ribosomal RNA (bases 1-1536)
Source: RNAcentral